Molecule: ribosomal RNA, 658 nt
Filed under: uncultured Bacillota bacterium
Lineage: Bacteria; Bacillati; Bacillota
Description: bacterial SSU rRNA
Rfam family: Bacterial small subunit ribosomal RNA
Source: RNAcentral
CCAUAGCUAGUGUGAGUAACGGCUCACAAAGCGACGAUGGUAGCCGCUGAGAGGGUGGACGGCCACACUGGACUGAGACASGGCCCAGACUCCUACGGGAGGCAGCAGUAGGAAUAUGCGCAAUGGACGGAAGUCUGACGCAGCGACGCGCGUGAGCGAUGAAGGUCUUCGGAUCGUAAAGCUCUGUCCUUGGGGAAGAAGGCGAAAGCUUGACGGUACCCAAGAAGAAAGCCCCGGCUAACUACGUGCCAGCAGCCGCGGUAAUACGUAGGGGGCGAGCGUUGUCCGGAAUUACUGGGCGUAAAGGGUGCGUAGGCGGCCCUUUAAGUCGGAUGUGAAAGCCCGCGGCUUAACCGCGGAAUGGCAUUCGAAACUGGAGGGCUUGAGUGUCGGAGAGGGUAGUGGAAUUCCCAGUGUAGCGGUGAAAWRMGUARAUAUUGGGAGGAACACCAGUGGCGAAGGCGACUACCUGGACGAUAACUGACGCUGAGGCACGAAAGCUAGGGGAGCAAACAGGAUUAGAUACCCUGGUAGUCCUAGCCGUAAACGAUGGGUACUAGGUGUGGGUGGUUUCGAUACCAUCCGUGCCGUAGUUAACGCAUUAAGUACCCCGCCUGGGGAGUACGUGCGCAAGCAUGAAACUCAAAGGAAUUGACGG